RNAcentral lists this ribosomal RNA (576 nucleotides) under uncultured bacterium. RNAcentral's name for it is "bacterial SSU rRNA". It matches the Rfam family "Bacterial small subunit ribosomal RNA", at positions 102 to 674 of the family's 1533-position model. The record is from RNAcentral.
ACGGGUGAGUAAUAUAUCGGAACGUGCCCUAGAGUGGGGGAUAACUAGUCGAAAGAUUAGCUAAUACCGCAUACGAUCUAAGGAUGAAAGUGGGGGAUCGCAAGACCUCAUGCUCCUGGAGCGGCCGAUAUCUGAUUAGCUAGUUGGUGGGGUAAAAGCCUACCAAGGCGACGAUCAGUAGCUGGUCUGAGAGGACGACCAGCCACACUGGGACUGAGACACGGCCCAGACUCCUACGGGAGGCAGCAGUGGGGAAUUUUGGACAAUGGGGGCAACCCUGAUCCAGCAAUGCCGCGUGAGUGAAGAAGGCCUUCGGGUUGUAAAGCUCUUUUGUCAGGGAAGAAACGGUUCCAGCUAAUAUCUGGAGCUAAUGACGGUACCUGAAGAAUAAGCACCGGCUAACUACGUGCCAGCAGCCGCGGUAAUACGUAGGGUGCAAGCGUUAAUCGGAAUUACUGGGCGUAAAGCGUGCGCAGGCGGUUGUGUAAGUCAGAUGUGAAAUCCCCGGGCUCAACCUGGGAAUUGCAUUUGAGACUGCACGGCUAGAGUGUGUCAGAGGGGGGUAGAAUUCCACGU